Hordeum vulgare subsp. vulgare (domesticated barley) is the source of this 1125-nucleotide long non-coding RNA. RefSeq lists it as uncharacterized. The transcript has 2 exons. NCBI's taxonomy places the organism in Eukaryota, Viridiplantae, Streptophyta, Magnoliopsida, Poales, Poaceae. The record is from RefSeq and is a predicted model, not a curated record.
CAGUAGUGCGACCGCCGUGGCUGCUAGCCGACAUCCUCUCUGCCGCUGCAGUCGUAAGCGCCGCCCAAGCCUCCUCCGCGCAACAGCUGCACCCUUGGACCCAUCCCCUGCAUCGCCCCUUGCUGUCCAGCCCUGUUGCCACCCCUGCCACACCCUGCUCCUCCCCUGCCGAUGCAAGUUUUUGUCACGGGCGAGCUUAUCUUCGGACGCCACGAACCGACUCCCUCCAACCUAUAAAAGCCCCUCCCGAGCUCACCUAGUCACCCACGCCAUCCUCGGAAUCCCCCCUACCGAAGAAAUCGGGCCCGUGUGCCCAAUUUCAUCGCCGUCGGUGGCCACUGCCAUGAGGAGCUCUGGUCAAAUCCGCCGCAGCUAGUUCCUCCCGACGCCAAGCUUCUCCUCGUUUAGCCCCCUGGUGGCGAGAGGGAUCUUUUCCCCAUAGCCAUGAGUACCGGAGACUUCGGGCUACAGGGACCUCUAGAAGGCCGACGCCGCCAUCCGUCGGAGCCCGCGUCACCGGCGAUUCCCUCCAUACCCGUGCGUGUGGAGUUCCGGGAGAAUCGCCAGGACCCCCUGAAUCCAUUCCCGUGCCUCUGCGUGCAAGAUCUAUAGCCAGUUGCCGGCGAGGAUCCUUGGAGUGCCGCCCUGGUUCAACCACGGGAGGUAGGGGCAAACCCGACAAGUGGCCCCCACCUGUCGAUGUUUGCGAGUACAUUCAAAGUACGAACUGGCUUGUCCCUGGCUAUUGUCUUCGCCAGAUUUCAUUGGAGAGGAGCACGAUGUCAUCAACCCCGCGAAUCUAUGAGUCGAGGAUAGCAGCCUUGUGAGAUAGGAACUUAUCCAGGUCAACUAUUCCUGUGGAAAUGGAGUUCAUGGGCACUGGAGAUUCCUCGAGUCGCUUCCGCCGUCAGCCUCAAACUUGGUUCAAACCAGUGGACCUUUAUAGUCUUGUCACCCAAACUUUGUAUUUUUUUCUUGGUAUUUAUGUAUCAAGUGAGUGUCCACUAGCUAACAGAUUCCUGGGGCUAGUGAACAUAAGGGCCUGUUUUCUGGAAAUUGUUUUCCGAAAAAGCAGUCGCCACAACCUUGGUAUCACAGCCAAACUGACCAUUGGUUAAACCUAUC